CUGCCGAAAGUCCAAGGGUUCCUGCGUAAAGCUAAUCUGCGCAGGGUUAGCCGGCUCCUAAGGCGAGGCCGAAAGGCGUAGUCGAUGGGAAUGAGGUGAAUAUUCCUCAGCCUGCGGGUGGUGACGAAUUCCGUAUAUCGUUGGUCCUUAUCGGAUUGGAUCGGCGGUGAAGGGGUUCCAGGAAAUAGCCCCCGCGUAUAGACCGUACCCGAAACCGACACAGGUGGACUGGUAGAGCAUACCAAGGCGAUUGAGAGAACUAUGCUGAAGGAACUCGGCAAAUUGCCUCCGUAACUUCGGAAGAAGGAGGACCUCUUCUUGGGCAACCAGGAGGGGGUGGCACAGACCAGGGGGUAGCGACUGUUUACCAAAAACACAGGGCUCUGCGAAGUCGAAAGACGACGUAUAGGGUCUGACGCCUGCCCGGUGCCGGAAGGUUAAGAGGAGAUGUGCAAGCAUUGAAUCGAAGCCCCGGUAAACGGCGGCCGUAACAAUAACGGUCCUAAGGUAGCGAAAUUCCUUGUCGGGUAAGUUCCGACCUGCACGAAGGGCGUAACGACUUCCCCGCUGUCUCCAGCAUAGACUCAGUGAAAUUGAAUUCCCCGUGAAGAUGCGGGGUUCCUGCGGUUAGACGGAAAGACCCCAUGAACCUUUACUACAACUUUGCAUUGGCGUUCGUGACGGCAUGUGUAGGAUAGGUGGUAGACUUUGAAGCCUGGGCGCUAGCUCGGGUGGAGUCACCCUUGAAAUACCACCCUUGUUGUUAUGCACGUCUAACCGCGGCUCGUAAUCCGGGUCCGGGACAAUGCAUGGUGGGUAGUUUGACUGGGGCGGUCGCCUCCCAAAGUGUAACGGAGGCGCGCGAUGGUGGGCUCAGAGCGGUCGGAAAUCGCUCGUCGAGUGCAAUGGCAUAAGCCCGCCUGACUGCGAGACUGACAAGUCAAGCAGAGACGAAAGUCGGUCAUAGUGAUCCGGUGGUCCCACGUGGACGGGCCAUCGCUCAACGGAUAAAAGGUACUCUGGGGAUAACAGGCUGAUGAUGCCCUAGCGUCCACAGCGACGGCAUCGUUUGGCACCUCGAUGUCGACUCAUCACAUCCUGGGGCUGGAGCAGGUCCCAAGGGUUCGGCUGUUCGCCGAUUAAAGUGGUACGUGAGUUGGGUUCAGAACGUCGUGAGACAGUUCGGUCCCUAUCUGCCGUGGGUGUAGGAGAAUUGAGAGGAUCUGUCCUUAGUACGAGAGGACCGGGAUGGACGUACCUCUGGUGGACCUGUUGUGGCGCCAGCCGCAUCGCAGGGUAGCUAUGUACGGACGGGAUAACCGCUGAAAGCAUCUAAGCGGGAAACCCACCUCAAAACUAUUUCUCCCUGAAGAGUCGUGGUAGACCACCACGUCGAUAGGCCGGGUGUGGAAGUGCAGCAAUGCAUGAAGCUUACCGGUACUAAUCACUCAAAAAA
This 1456-nucleotide ribosomal RNA is filed under the name metagenome. RNAcentral describes it as "bacterial LSU rRNA". It matches the Rfam family "Bacterial large subunit ribosomal RNA", at positions 1334 to 2925 of the family's 2925-position model. The record is from RNAcentral.